GUUAAUGUAGCUUAAUCCAAAGCAAAGCACUGAAAAUGCUUUAGAUGGACUUUUAUGUAGUCCCAUAAACA
Molecule: transfer RNA, 71 nt
Filed under: Macropus fuliginosus (western gray kangaroo)
Lineage: Eukaryota; Metazoa; Chordata; Mammalia; Diprotodontia; Macropodidae
Description: tRNA-Phe
Rfam family: tRNA
About the family: Transfer RNA (tRNA) molecules are approximately 80 nucleotides in length. Their secondary structure includes four short double-helical elements and three loops (D, anti-codon, and T loops).
Source: RNAcentral